Molecule: transfer RNA, 50 nt
Filed under: Neodon nyalamensis
Lineage: Eukaryota; Metazoa; Chordata; Mammalia; Rodentia; Cricetidae
Description: tRNA-Phe
Source: RNAcentral
UUAUCUUAAAGCAAAGCACUGAAAAUGCUUAGAUGGAUGCAAGCAUCCCA